GUGCUCACUUCGGCAGCACAUAAACUAAAAUUGGAACGAUACAGAGAAGAUUAGCAUGGCACCUGCACAAGGAUGACACGUUCCAUAUUUUU
This is a small nuclear RNA of Myotis lucifugus (little brown bat), 92 nucleotides long. NCBI's taxonomy places the organism in Eukaryota, Metazoa, Chordata, Mammalia, Chiroptera, Vespertilionidae. The record is from Ensembl.